UUCAUUUUUUCAUGUUCGGGCAGGGCACGCUUCGCACUAAAUGGAGUAUAAAUUUUGGUGCCUUCGGGCAGGACAAGCUUGGCUCAGCUGCUGGAAUUAUCUAUGAAAUGCAACAAAGUUCCAGUCUUCAUUCUGGUCGCUGCCUCGACAGAUCCCUUGGGGAAACAGUAACGUGUCGUAUGUUUCUGUGCUUUUCCGUGUACUGUAGUUGCGUGCAAAUCUUUUCGUACAAUGUUUACUUGUAAAAGCAUGUAGCCUUAAUGUAUCCGUGCUUUGACACUUUGUAAUUUAAAUGCAUGUUACUUUUCACUUUAAAUCCUGUGCAUCUGUAAUGGAAUGCGUGAUUUUGUAUGCAACUUUCGCUCAAUAAAUUGUUGAUUGGAGU
RNAcentral lists this long non-coding RNA (385 nucleotides) under Lepisosteus oculatus (spotted gar). Its description in RNAcentral is "lncRNA (ENSLOCG00000023270.1)". The record is from RNAcentral. Lineage: Eukaryota; Metazoa; Chordata; Actinopteri; Semionotiformes; Lepisosteidae.